GGCUGGAUAGCUCAGUUGGUAGAGCACUAGUUUGGUACUACGGAGGUCGCAGGUUCAAACCCUACUCCAGUCA
This is a non-coding RNA of Patiria miniata (bat star), 73 nucleotides long. The record is from the annotation of a RefSeq genome assembly. Lineage: Eukaryota; Metazoa; Echinodermata; Asteroidea; Valvatida; Asterinidae.